This is a non-coding RNA of Equus caballus (horse), 137 nucleotides long. The record is from Rfam. NCBI's taxonomy places the organism in Eukaryota, Metazoa, Chordata, Mammalia, Perissodactyla, Equidae.
AGUGAAAGCCUGGGAAAAACCAGCAGCUGGUUUGGGGAGGGGCAAUUAAACCCUUAGGGAACGCUCAGCGGGUGCACACAUCCCGGCCAGAGAACCCGGUGCCCACUGUGGGGGUGGGACGUGGGGAGGGUUUGAAU